CAUGACACAAAGUUAAAAGGCGCUUUGGCGUCACCUAGAGAUGGAUCCGCGGUGCAUUAGUUAGUUGGUGGGGUAAAGGCCUACCAAGACCAUGAUGCAUAGCCGAAUUGAGAGACUGAUCGGCCACAUUGGGACUGAGACACGGCCCAAACUCCUACGGGAGGCUGCAGUAGGGAAUCUUCCAGAAUGGGCGAAAGCCUGAUGGAGCAACGCCACGUGUGUGAUGAAGGCUUUCGGGUCGUAAAGCACUGUUGUAUGGGAAGAACAGCUAGAAUAGGGAAUGAUUUUAGUUUGACGGUACCAUACCAGAAAGGGACGGCUAAAUACGUGCCAGCAGCCGCGGUAAUACGUAUGUCCCGAGCGUUAUCCGGAUUUAUUGGGCGUAAAGCGAGCGCAGACGGUUGAUUAAGUCUGAUGUGAAAGCCCGGAGCUCAACUCCGGAAUGGCAUUGGAAACUGGUUAACUUGAGUGCAGUAGAGGUAAGUGGAACUCCAUGUGUAGCGGUGGAAUGCGUAGAUAUAUGGAAGAACACCAGUGGCGAAGGCGGCUUACUGGACUGUAACUGACGUUGAGGCUCGAAAGUGUGGGUAGCAAACAGGAUUAGAUACCCUGGUAGUCCACACCGUAAACGAUGAACACUAGGUGUUAUGAGGUUUCCGCCUCUUAGUGCCGAAGCUAACGCAUUAAGUGUUCCGCCUGGGGAGUACGACCGCAAGGUUGAAACUCAGAGGAAUUGACGGGGACCCGCACAAGCGGUGGAGCAUGUGGUUUAAUUCGAAGCAACGCGAA
This 789-nucleotide ribosomal RNA is filed under the name Leuconostoc sp. MX-MONARCH19. RNAcentral's name for it is "bacterial SSU rRNA". It matches the Rfam family "Bacterial small subunit ribosomal RNA", at positions 189 to 965 of the family's 1533-position model. Lineage: Bacteria; Bacillati; Bacillota; Bacilli; Lactobacillales; Lactobacillaceae. The record is from RNAcentral.